GGGCAAGGAAAAGCUGAGGCCUCACUGGCUGUCAUUAUCAAUGAGGGAAAUUUCUAUUUUCUACUCAUAUUCGCCAUACAAAAUAGAAACUCUCUUCUACUUAUGUGUAUAAUACUGCUGCCAACUUCCGUUUAAUGGUUUAUAGCUAAAUUUAACAAUUUCUUCUUGACUGCUUGCAGGGCAAUGGGGAAGAUAAGGGAUAAAAGAAAAUCAAUCUAGCCCGUGAACUGUUUACCAAAGAAGCAAUCACAAAAACUAGUAAUGUUAAUCACUAAAAAAUUUUCAUUCCAUAUUCAAAUUAAGGCUAAUGCCACAAUCAUCUUUCAUUUUCAUAUUUGUGUUAUCUUUAUAUUAAGCAGUCUAAAUUCAACUUAUAAAAAAGAAAAUUUUCUCAUAAAAAAAUUUAGUUCUGAUUUUUGAAGUUAGUUGAAGUCCAGUGCCAUGGCACACUUUCUAACUUAUCCACAUCUGGCUAAUCUACUUGGCACCAAUGGCAGUCAUGUUUAAAUGAAUGGCUUCAUCAAUUUAAACAACAGAAAAAAAAAAUUGCAGAUUUUAAUCUGGCAUGAAUUAGGUAAAUUUUACUUGUUAUGGUUCAACUUAAUUAGGGAGGUAUAUAUUAUCAUACAUUCUUUUAAGCAACAUCCAUUCUACUUAAAAUAUUACAAAAUUCAUUUGCAUGUGUGUAAAUGAGUUUACAAAUCAUGAACACAACAACUACACUAAAGAAAAGAAAAUGAAAUACAAACCUUCCCAGGCCCAGUAAGAAGAACUGGCUUAUCAGUUUUCUGACCUCGACGAUGCUGAAUGGUAUCCAACCCUGUAAUUAAGCUCAAAAUGAUUUAAGGAACGAAAGUAGGACAAAGGGUGAAUGCCUUAUUCAAGCUUUCUUCAAGAUGAGAUACUUCCAUACUCGAGUAACAGAAUAAAGUCUCAAUACAAGUAUUUACAAUUUAAGCAGUACCAGAUAGUUAUAAACAUGGUCUUAGGCAAAAAGCUCAAGCAUUCCGUGUCCUUGCCUUUCAAGUACAUAUCAUUGAAGGAAAGACUAUUGAAAGUCAUUUCAUUGCUUUCACAUUGUUCUUGUAAUGAUUUUAACUGCAUUAGGAUUGUUAUUUACUUACUGAAAUUAGCACCCAAGCCAAUCGCUUUCAUGAGAUUCUGUACAUGCCUAAUCUUUAUGAGCUGUAGUAGAAUUAAAACCACUGAGGUUGUUAACUUCAUAUUAUAAAGAUAAAAUCCAUAUAUAGGUCAAAUGAUAAUUGAAUGAAUGAGUUGGAGUUUUCCAAUUCAAGGCGACAAUGCAAAAUAAUUAUCAUUGAAGCCUCCUUUUAUAUAAAUUCCCAGUAAAAUGGUUUGCUAGAUUUGCAACGAUAUUCCCACCAUUGAAACAAAAGAAUGACAGCCAUAAAAUUCAAAACAACAAGAAGGCAAACACAGCUAGCGACUUUCAAAAUGAUACUAAGUAUAUCAGUGGAAAAUUACCACUCAUGGGAGCACAAGAUCGUAUCAAUACUGCAGCCCCAACCCCUUCCUUGUCUGCAACUACAUUAAGCAUUGUGUGGAGACCAUAGCAAAGAUAAACAUACGCAUGCCCUCCCGGUCCAAAAACUGGAGCUGUUCUUGCGGUGAUACCAAAUCUGCCGUGACAAGCUGAAUCAUUAGGCCUGUAAGCUUCAACCUCAGUAAUCUGAAGAACAACACCAUCUCUCCUAAGGAACUUGCCAAGCAAGCGUGGAGCAAGAUCAAGAGCGUCAAUUUGAAAAAACUCGAGGGGCAAUAUUCUCAUUUUAUCAAAAGAUAGUGGGUUUGAAUUUGGGAUUGUUAAAGAAAGAAUUUUGGUUUGGGGUUGAGCUUGGCAUGACUUGGAUUUGGCCCUAAUGGUUACAGAUUUCAGGCGCAGACCCGGCCGAGUUUCCAGGUCUUUAUCGCCGGGUUCGCUCGGUUGAAUCGCCUUCGUGGAUUUCGCGACUCGCUUGAAUUGCUGAGCCCUUUUCAUUUCCUUGUUGGUGAGGGACCAAAGGAAAGGCGUUGAAAAACGAGAAAGGAAAUGCCGUUUAGCCGUUUACUCUGGAACAUGAGCGGCUUGUCGAC
This 2094-nucleotide unclassified non-coding RNA is filed under the name Hevea brasiliensis (rubber tree). Lineage: Eukaryota; Viridiplantae; Streptophyta; Magnoliopsida; Malpighiales; Euphorbiaceae. The record is from RNAcentral.